CAGGCCUAACACAUGCAAGUCGAGCGAGGCCCUCUCUUCGGAGGGGUGUCCUAGCGGCGAACGGGUGAGUAACACGUGGGUAACCUGCCCUCAGCUCUGGGAUAACUCCGGGAAACCGGGGCUAAUACCGGAUAUGACCUACCUGGGCAUCUUGGUGGGUGGAAAGUUUUUCGGCUGAGGAUGGGCCCGCGGCCUAUCAGCUUGUUGGUGGGGUGAUGGCCUACCAAGGCGACGACGGGUAGCCGGCCUGAGAGGGUGACCGGCCACACUGGGACUGAGACACGGCCCAGACUCCUACGGGAGGCAGCAGUGGGGAAUAUUGCGCAAUGGGCGAAAGCCUGACGCAGCGACGCCGCGUGAGGGACGAAGGCCUUCGGGUUGUAAACCUCUUUCAGCAGGGACGAAGCGAAAGUGACGGUACCUGCAGAAGAAGCACCGGCCAACUACGUGCCAGCAGCCGCGGUAAU
RNAcentral lists this ribosomal RNA (467 nucleotides) under uncultured bacterium. Its description in RNAcentral is "bacterial SSU rRNA". It matches the Rfam family "Bacterial small subunit ribosomal RNA", at positions 43 to 524 of the family's 1533-position model. The record is from RNAcentral.